CGGCCAGGCGCGCACAGCCGCUCUGCGGAGCGUCUCGCGGCCCCGCCGCUGGGCCUGGCUGCGCCUCGGGCCCGAGGUCAGGGAGUCUUGCCGUCAGCCAACCCGAGGCAGCCGGCAGGACGAAGAGGCCACAUAGGUCAACUGAGAUGAGAUGCCGCAGAUCCCCACGUUUUGCCGCGGACCCUUGGCGCUUUCCCACGUCACUCCCCGGCCGGGGAAAAGCCGAAGAGGCGGGCAGUGAGCGCAGUGGGUUGGCGAGGCUGGGGGCAGCGUCCUCCGGGAUCGCCCGCGCCCGCCCCCCGCUCGGGGCACCCCCGCAGGGCGCCGCCCGCCACCGCCGCCCGCCCGCGUGGUGCGGAGAGCAAACCGCAUUCACCGCUGAGAAGGAACCCUUAGGUGACAAAUGGAUCCUCUCUUCUGUUUUUAUGAUGGCGACGUCAGCUACAGCAAGCCCACAAAUUUUAAGUAGGCUCAGGAUUGCUUUCUCAGCAACCCAGAGCUCUCCAAAGUAAGAAAUGAAACUAAUCGUAAAAGUUGUAUGUAUCCUGUGGAGUGUAUAUUAAAAUUCCGAACGUAAAACGCUAUUGGAAUUUCACUUGCCAUCAUCAGUUCCUGAAGCUUCUGUAAGAGUGAGAUUCUGACCAGUUAUUUCCCCUUCAAGCCUAACGUGUUCUGCCCAGUGUAAAGUACAUGGUGAACCUUCCUGGACCAUAAUGAGGAUAAAAAUAUCUACCAU
This is a non-coding RNA of Manis javanica (Malayan pangolin), 736 nucleotides long. The record is from RefSeq and is a predicted model, not a curated record. NCBI's taxonomy places the organism in Eukaryota, Metazoa, Chordata, Mammalia, Pholidota, Manidae.